AUCCUCUGUUGUUCAUAAGCAGGAUGACUGGGUUGACACAUGGCUGUGUGAUAACAUGUGCUACCCUCCCGACCUGUUAGAUGUCAGCACAUUACCCGUCCAAUA
Small nucleolar RNA from Ochotona princeps (American pika), 105 nucleotides. RefSeq annotates it as small nucleolar RNA U13. The record is from RefSeq and is a predicted model, not a curated record. The transcript has a single exon. Lineage: Eukaryota; Metazoa; Chordata; Mammalia; Lagomorpha; Ochotonidae.